Molecule: non-coding RNA, 253 nt
Filed under: uncultured bacterium
Lineage: Bacteria
Also listed under: 1 other name
Description: partial 16S ribosomal RNA
Rfam family: Bacterial small subunit ribosomal RNA
Source: RNAcentral
UACGUAGGGCGCAAGCGUUGUCCGGAAUUAUUGGGCGUAAAGAGCUCGUAGGCGGCUUGUCGCGUCUGCUGUGAAAGCCCGGGGCUUAACUCCGGGUGUGCAGUGGGUACGGGCAGGCUAGAGUGCAGUAGGGGUAACUGGAAUUCCUGGUGUAGCGGUGAAAUGCGCAGAUAUCAGGAGGAACACCGAUGGCGAAGGCAGGUUACUGGGCUGUUACUGACGCUGAGGAGCGAAAGCAUGGGGAGCGAACAGG